This 439-nucleotide ribosomal RNA is filed under the name uncultured bacterium. RNAcentral's name for it is "partial 16S ribosomal RNA". It matches the Rfam family "Bacterial small subunit ribosomal RNA", at positions 338 to 795 of the family's 1533-position model. The record is from RNAcentral.
CCUACGGGAGGCAGCAGUGGGGAAUAUUGCACAAUGGGGGAAACCCUGAUGCAGCGACGCCGCGUGAGCGAUGAAGUCUUUCGGUAUGUAAAGCUCUAUCAGCAGGGAAGAAAAUGACGGUACCUGACUAAGAAGCCCCGGCUAACUACGUGCCAGCAGCCGCGGUAAUACGUAGGGGGCAAGCGUUAUCCGGAUUUACUGGGUGUAAAGGGAGCGUAGACGGCGGUGCAAGCCAGAUGUGAAAGCCCGGGGCUCAACCCCGGGACUGCUCUUGGAACUGCGUGGCUGGAGUGCAGGAGGGGCAGGCGGAAUUCCUGGUGUAGCGGUGAAAUGCGUAGAUAUUAGGAGGAACACCAGUGGCGAAGGCGGCCUGCUGGGCUUUUACUGACGCUGAGGCUCGAAAGUGUGGGGAGCAAACAGGAUUAGAUACCCCGGUGUC